Molecule: non-coding RNA, 1286 nt
Organism: Benincasa hispida (wax gourd)
Lineage: Eukaryota; Viridiplantae; Streptophyta; Magnoliopsida; Cucurbitales; Cucurbitaceae
Source: RefSeq, a predicted model, not a curated record
UUUGAGAAGAUAUUUAGAAUUUAAAAAAGUAAAAAGAUUUUUUCGUCGCUCGACUUCAGUUCUCCAGCCGCCUCUCUUUCGCUCCCUGUCACAGCCUAACAGCGAGCGCGAUUCCAGUCGAGGACACUUGCACCAACCGCCUCUCCUUCCUUCGCCGCCACAACCUAGUCGCAAUCUCUCCCUCUUAUCCAUCAUCAGAUCGCGUCGUUUGCCAGUCGCACCCCCUCACUCUGCCGCACCUGUUUCAUCAUCGUCUGCUUGCACGCCACAGCUGCCACCGCCCUACCCUUUGUGCCCUGCCACUGGGGGUUCUUAUUUGGAUCCGAGUUUUGGAGGAAUUUGGGGUCAAAAGUGUGCUACCUGCAUUUGCAAAAGUUUGAUUUUGGUAGUUUUGGCAUAGUUUUGGUUAGGCAAUUAAAUUGAAUUUUGGAACUGAUUUUAGACGAAGCCACUUUUUCGGUAAAUUAAAGACAUUUGGAUAAUUGUGGUUAAAUUGGAAUUAAACCCCAAAGGUUUAAUUUAAUUUUUUGUUUGACUUAAUUAUUCUAGGUCUUGAUUUAAUGUUGUGUUCGGCAAAGAGAAGUUAAGUUUGUUUGAGUUUGUUUUUGAACCUAAAUUCUAAGGAUUCACUAGAGGUUGUGAUUUCCUUUGGGACUUCACCAGAGGUUAAUGAUCUCCUUCGAGAUUUCACUAGAGGUUAGUGUUUCCUUCGGGGCUUUCCAAAGGUUUGUGUCCCCUUCGAGAUUCACCAGAGGUUGUGAUUUCCUUCGGGACUUCACCAUAGGUUAGUGAUCUUCUUCGAGUUUCACCAGAGGUUUGUGGGUACAUCUCACCUACGAUAAGGUGGGUUCAAUUGUCCACUAGAUGGCCAUCCACGAAAAGUAGAGGUUUAUGCAUGUCCCACUAGAAAGUAGCAUUUAUUGGAUAUAGAUGUUUAGCCUAACCCUGGUAGUAGAGUUACUUACUGAGUAUUUUAUACUCGUUCUAUCUUAUGUUUCCUUUUCAGGUAAAGGUAACAACACGCUAGCGCAUGACAAGCAGAAUCCGUGAUCAAACCACUGGGACCAGUCAAUGUUUCUGCCUAUCUUUUUCUAUAUCUUCAUGAUUUUAAAUUAGUUAAUUGUUAAAUUUAGAGGUCUUUUAGUUUUAUUUUCUUGUUGCACAUCGGGUGUUUUGGAUGAUGUUUUAUUGUGAUGUUUACUUUAUUUCAUUUUUUUAAGUUACCCUGUUAAAUGAAUUUCAUUUAAUUACUUUUAGUAAAGUCUUAAUAUUUGUCUUUUAUCAAA